This 581-nucleotide ribosomal RNA is filed under the name uncultured bacterium. RNAcentral describes it as "bacterial SSU rRNA". It matches the Rfam family "Bacterial small subunit ribosomal RNA", at positions 338 to 916 of the family's 1533-position model. The record is from RNAcentral.
CCUACGGGAGGCAGCAGUGGGGAAUAUUGGACAAUGGGCGAAAGCCUGAUCCAGCAAUUCCGCGUGUGUGAAGAAGGCCUUCGGGUUGUAAAGCACUUUAGUGGGGGAAGAAACAGCUUGGCCACACCAAGCCUUGACGGUACCCCAAGAAUAAGCACCGGCUAACUCUGUGCCAGCAGCCGCGGUAAUACAGAGGGUGCAAGCGUUAAUCGGAUUUACUGGGCGUAAAGGGUGCGUAGGUGGCUAUUUAAGUCGGAUGUGAAAGCCCGGGGCUCAACCUCGGAAUUGCAUUCGAUACUGAGUGGCUAGAGUUCGGUAGAGGGCGGCGGAAUUUCCGGUGUAGCGGCGAAAUGCGUAGAUAUCGGAAGGAACAUCAAUGGCGAAGGCAGCCGCCUGGGCCUGGACUGACACUGAGGCACGAAAGCGUGGGUAGCAAACAGGAUUAGAUACCCUGGUAGUCCACGCCGUAAACGAUGAGAACUUGACGUUGGUUCGUUUUACGAAUCGGUGUCGCAGCUAACGCGAUAAGUUCUCCGCCUGGGGAGUACGGCCGCAAGGUUGAAACUCAAAUGAAUUGACGG